RNAcentral lists this ribosomal RNA (254 nucleotides) under uncultured bacterium. Its description in RNAcentral is "partial 16S ribosomal RNA". It matches the Rfam family "Bacterial small subunit ribosomal RNA", at positions 524 to 776 of the family's 1533-position model. The record is from RNAcentral.
UACGGGGGGAGCAAGCGUUGUUCGGAUUUACUGGGCGUAAAGGGCGCGUAGGCGGCCACCGCAAGUCGGUUGUGAAAUCUCUGGGCUUAACCCAGAAAGGUCAACCGAUACUGUUUUGCUAGAGUACAGAAGGGGCAAUCGGAAUUCUUGGUGUAGCGGUGAAAUGCGUAGAUAUCAAGAGGAACACCUGAGGUGAAGACGGGUUGCUGGGCUGAUACUGACGCUGAGGCGCGAAAGCUAGGGUAGCAAACGGG